Molecule: ribosomal RNA, 497 nt
Filed under: uncultured bacterium
Lineage: Bacteria
Description: partial 16S ribosomal RNA
Rfam family: Bacterial small subunit ribosomal RNA
Source: RNAcentral
GACGAACGCUGGCGGCGUGCCUAAUACAUGCAAGUAGAACGCUGAAGCGAGGAGCUUGCUCUUCUUGGGUGAGUUGCGAACGGGUGAGUAACGCGUAGGUAACCUGCCUUGUAUCGGGGGAUAACUAUUGGAAACGAUGGCUAAUACCGCAUAACAAUGGAUGACACAUGUCAUUUAUUUGAAAGGGGCCAUUGCUCCACUACAAGAUGGACCUGCGUUGUAUUAGCUAGUAGGUGAGGUAAUGGCUCAACUAGGCGACGAUACAUAGCCGACCGGAGAGGGUGAGUGGCCAAACUGGGACCGAGACACGGCCCAGACUGCCACCGGAAGCAGCAGGAGGGAAUCUUCGGCCAUGGGGGGCAGCCUUACCCAACAACGCCGCCGGAGGGAAGAAGGUUUUCGGAUCGUAAAGGUCUGUUGUAAGGCAAGAAAGGGUGUGAGAGUGGAAAGUUCACACUGUGACGGUAGCUUACCAGAAAGCGACGGCUAACUACGUG